GCGACUCAUUUUAGGUGCGUCAAUAGAUCUGACGCACCCUGUAUAUAUUACGCAUAAUCAAUUCACAGUGAAGCAAGCUGUACGGCUAUAUCUUGGAGCCGGGUUGCUUGAAAAUGCAGCCUGAAGUGGGUGACGAACUCCAUCUAAGGCUAAGUAUAGACGCGAAUUCGAUGGCAAAGCAGUACUGGAAGGAAAGUUUCAAAGAACUUAGGGAGUUCAGGAGAACGCAAAAUCGCUGGAGUGGGAACAGAAGAGUUGACGUUGUUGGGUAACCAAGUUUCCAAAGUCGAUUAAUUGUGACUACUUUUAUUUCUGACAAAACAAACCUCAAUAAUUUCUCCUACCGCAUCAAUCACCCCACCACUGUAGCUAUAACUUUGUAAAAAGCAAAACUAGAGCUGCGAAUUGAUAUCAUCUACAAUAGUAGGCAGUCCAACGAACUUAAACCUCAA
Ancylostoma duodenale is the source of this 452-nucleotide non-coding RNA. The record is from Rfam. Lineage: Eukaryota; Metazoa; Nematoda; Chromadorea; Rhabditida; Ancylostomatidae.